This 332-nucleotide long non-coding RNA is filed under the name Elaeis guineensis (African oil palm). RNAcentral describes it as "long non-coding RNA (EGUI_LNC045242)". The record is from RNAcentral. Lineage: Eukaryota; Viridiplantae; Streptophyta; Magnoliopsida; Arecales; Arecaceae.
GGGUUGGGUUGAGUGAAAGUAGGUCUAAUUGAGUUUGACCCUUGUGACCAAGAAAAAUUGAGUUGGUUCCUCCAUCCUGGAUUGUAUGUUGGUGCGUAGGGGUCAUUUGUAGAUCUUUGAUAGGCUGCAUUUACCUGUGCUACUUCAUUCUCGGCUGGACCCAUCAAGAAAGGACAUCCUUCCAUCGUGUGGUCUGUGGAAUUACACCCAUUGCAAGUGGUUCUUGCAACUUGGUUCACUUGGAUGUGUUCCUUGAGUUCUAGAGCAUCUAUCCUAUGGAUCAAAGAUGCAAAUUUAGCCUCUUCAGCUAGGAAAGGUUGAACUUGAUAUAC